Long non-coding RNA from Canis lupus familiaris (dog), 1447 nucleotides. RefSeq lists it as uncharacterized. The record is from RefSeq and is a predicted model, not a curated record. Lineage: Eukaryota; Metazoa; Chordata; Mammalia; Carnivora; Canidae. The transcript has 3 exons.
UGGGACUUGAUUCCGGGUCUCCAGGAUCACACCCUGGACUGAAGGCGACGCUAAACCGCUGAGCCAGCAGGGCUACCCUAAUUUCUCAUUCUUUUUUUCAGUAUCCUUUCAUUAAAAUUCCAUCAAAAAUAUGCCUACUGUGUUUCCUGGAUGAAACAUGGAAGCAUCUUCUGGCCUGAAGUUUGUUUAAAAACAAUCCUUAACAGAAGAUUUGAAAACUCAAUUUCAAAAGUAAUUUUUUCCCAGUAUGCUGUCUAUGUUCACAUUUCUAACUUUGUGCAGAAUGGGCUAGACUUAUUAAGGGAGUGAGCAACCUCGAAAACUAAAACCCUAGGUGGCAUCUUUCGGCUUCAGGAUGCUGCUAACAGCUCAAAAGAGUUUCCCAAAAAUAGUAUGUUUAUCUGAUUAAAUUUGGCUCAUUACCUAUAUGGAUAAACUCUUAAUUUACCAGUCCCCUCUCUGCUCUCUUUUUACCUAAGUAUGAAUCUAGGGUUAACUGGAAGUUUUUAUAUUAUUGUUUUUGGUCUUUAAUUUUUAUCUUUAAAAAAGGAGUAUCAGUUCUGUCCUACCCCCAUACUGGCUUAUUUCCCUUGUAAACUUACUUAGCUAAUGCAAUACAUAGUAACUUGGUUUUGUGUCGGUUACAGUGACCUUAAAGUGAAUUUGUUCCCUUUAGGGAAGUGUACGUCUGUCCUGCAGCAUCCCAUGGUCUCUGUGGUUAUAGACCACAAUGAGUUUAAAACUCCCAUCAUCUGUGUUAUUGUAUCACAUGGAUGAUUUUUCUAGAUCUAGUUUUCCUUAUUGUUUUUUGUUCACGUCUAAUACUAAACAAGUAUGUACAUCUAGUCUUUUGGCUUUUGAUGACUUCUAGCAAUGUAAUAAAUAUCUACAGCUUCUGAGGAAUAAAAAUCAAAGAGUUGAUUCACAGUAAAUUCUACACCUGAAACUAAUAUUACACUGUAUGUUAACUAACUGGAAUUUAAACGAAAAUCUGGAGGAAAAAAAAAGUUGAUUCAGAAAUAGCCCUAUGACCACUAAAAAUCACUUUCUUUUUCUGAAUUCAGUUUCCUUUUCCUAUAAAGUGAAGGGGAUUAGACCAAGUGAUUGGAAAGAACUUUCCACUGCCUACUUUCUGUGAUUGGGCAAAUGUUCCCCGGGUGUAUAUUGGCUUCAAGGGCUAUGCCAUUUUUCUGGGAUUUAGGAGGCCUUAGGAAACACUGACUGUGCCAGCUGGCUCCCAGUUGUCCUUCAGCUGUCCCAGGACCCACCUUUCUAAACGAAAUAUGGACAGUGGACGCUUGAGGAGAGAGAACCUUCUGCAAAUGGCCUAUUAGCAUGUUACUGUUGGAGCACAUUCAUCAGUUCUUCCUGAGAUGGGCAAACACUGUGAAGGCAAAGAGAGAGAGAGAGAGCGGCAGAGACACAGGCAGAGGGAGAAGCAGGCUCC